RNAcentral lists this RNase P RNA (334 nucleotides) under Eubacteriales Family XIII. Incertae Sedis bacterium. Its description in RNAcentral is "RNase P RNA component class A". It matches the Rfam family "Bacterial RNase P class A". From Rfam's summary of the family: Ribonuclease P (RNase P) is a ubiquitous endoribonuclease, found in archaea, bacteria and eukarya as well as chloroplasts and mitochondria. Its best characterised activity is the generation of mature 5'-ends of tRNAs by cleaving the 5'-leader elements of precursor-tRNAs. The record is from RNAcentral. Lineage: Bacteria; Bacillati; Bacillota; Clostridia; Peptostreptococcales; Anaerovoracaceae.
AAAGACGGAUACGCAAUCGCUUUACAAUCUUUUGAUAUGUAAAGAGGAAAGUCCGAACUUUAACCUUACACGUUAAGGUAAACGGUAGCAGGCAAUUCCUGUCGCCCGUGAGGGUAGAGGUGCGAACAGAGACGCUUUUCUUAGAAAUAAGAAAGUAUCCUUGUAAAAGGAUAAGCUUUCAUGGAGACACGAAAGGUGAAACGGCCAAAUCCUUACCGGAAAGCAAGGCUGAAGUAAUAGCCGCUUGAUUGUUAAAAGCAAUUUUAACAACAGAGAAAUGGUUGCGCUUUCAAAUUUUGGAAGACAGAAUUCGGUGUACAAUUCGUCUUUAUAA